AGCUCUCAUAAGAAAAGAGAUACAUAAAUAAGAGAAGAAGAAUAAAAGAUAUCUUAUUUCUACCAUGAUAGAAUCAUUAUGCCGACAAGAUGACUUAAACAAUCCUGAUUGUUUUAGAAGAAGAAAAGAUACACAAUCAUUUAUAUUGAUUGCACUAAGUUCGACGAGAUGACGUAGCUCCUCCAAGUCGUCAUGUUUGGAGCUGAACAAGAGCUCAAUCUCUCUUCAUAAACCAUAAAUGAAUAUUCUCACCACCACUUCGUCUCAUAAACACACGACCAUUUAGUUUGAUGAGAUCAAACUCUUCCCGUUAUUAUAAAAGUCAAACAAGUCAAUAAUAACGAACCUUGAUCACGC
This 357-nucleotide long non-coding RNA is filed under the name Brassica napus (rape). Its description in RNAcentral is "long non-coding RNA (BNAP_LNC015534)". The record is from RNAcentral. Lineage: Eukaryota; Viridiplantae; Streptophyta; Magnoliopsida; Brassicales; Brassicaceae.